GACGAACGCUGGCGGCGUGCUUAACACAUGCCAGUCGAACGGAAAGGCCCUGCUUUUGUGGGGUGCUCGAGUGGCGAACGGGUGAGUAACACGUGAGUAACCUGCCCUUGACUUUGGGAUAACUUCAGGAAACUGGGGCUAAUACCGGAUAGGAGCUCCUGCUGCAUGGUGGGGGUUGGAAAGUUUCGGCGGUUGGGGAUGGACUCGCGGCUUAUCAGCUUGUUGGUGGGGUAGUGGCUUACCAAGGCUUUGACGGGUAGCCGGCCUGAGAGGGUGACCGGCCACAUUGGGACUGAGAUACGGCCCAGACUCCUACGGGAGGCAGCAGUGGGGAAUAUUGCACAAUGGGCGGACGCCGGAUGCAGCAACGCCGCGUGCGGGAUGACGGCCUUCGGGUUGUAAACCGCUUUCGCCUGUGACGAAGCGUGAGUGACGGUAAUGGGUAAAGAAGCACCGGCUAACUACGUG
RNAcentral lists this ribosomal RNA (468 nucleotides) under uncultured bacterium. Its description in RNAcentral is "partial 16S ribosomal RNA". It matches the Rfam family "Bacterial small subunit ribosomal RNA", at positions 28 to 507 of the family's 1533-position model. The record is from RNAcentral.